CGGAUUGUAAAGCCCUUUUGGCAGGGACGAUGAGGACGGUACCUGCAGAAUAAGCCCCGGCUAACUUCGUGC
This 72-nucleotide ribosomal RNA is filed under the name uncultured bacterium. RNAcentral describes it as "partial 16S ribosomal RNA". The record is from RNAcentral.